UGGGGUCUUAAUUUGGCUUGUUUAAUCAUGUUUGGCUACGCUUAAAAUGGUUUACUUUUAAGUAACUUAAUCAUAAGUUAUCCAAUGAUAUCUGCAAACAAAAGUAGUUGAAAAGUUACUUUAGUUUUUUAUUAAGCUUAACCAAACAUGCUUUUAAUCUCUUGACUUUACUUUGACAGCAGCAUCCUGUGUAGUCCCUCAUUU
This 204-nucleotide long non-coding RNA is filed under the name Olea europaea (common olive). RNAcentral's name for it is "long non-coding RNA (OEUR_LNC012295)". Lineage: Eukaryota; Viridiplantae; Streptophyta; Magnoliopsida; Lamiales; Oleaceae. The record is from RNAcentral.